GGCCGCGUGGCCUAAUGGCUAAGGCGUCAGAUUUCGGUUGAAAUCAUCUAUUCUCUGAAGAUUGCAAGUUCGACUCUUGUCGCGGUCG
The sequence is a transfer RNA, 88 nucleotides long. It matches the Rfam family "tRNA". From Rfam's summary of the family: Transfer RNA (tRNA) molecules are approximately 80 nucleotides in length. Their secondary structure includes four short double-helical elements and three loops (D, anti-codon, and T loops). Further hydrogen bonds mediate the characteristic L-shaped molecular structure. tRNAs have two regions of fundamental functional importance: the anti-codon, which is responsible for specific mRNA codon recognition, and the 3' end, to which the tRNAs corresponding amino acid is attached (by aminoacyl-tRNA synthetases). tRNAs cope with the degeneracy of the genetic code in two manners: having more than one tRNA (with a specific anti-codon) for a particular amino acid; and 'wobble' base-pairing, i.e. permitting non-standard base-pairing at the 3rd anti-codon position. The record is from Rfam.